UACGGGGGAUGCAAGCGUUAUCCGGAUUUAUCGGGUUUAAAGGGUGCGUAGGCUGUGAGGUAAGUCAGCGGUGAAAUGCCCCCGCUCAACGGGGUGAAGUGCCAUUGAUACUGCCUUGCUGGAAUGCGGAUGCCGUGGGAGGAAUGUGUGGUGUAGCGGUGAAAUGCAUAGAUAUCACACAGAACACCGAUUGCGAAGGCAUCUCACGAAUCCGCGAUUGACGCUGAUGCACGAAAGCGUGGGUAUCAAACAGG
Molecule: ribosomal RNA, 254 nt
Filed under: uncultured bacterium
Lineage: Bacteria
Description: partial 16S ribosomal RNA
Rfam family: Bacterial small subunit ribosomal RNA
Source: RNAcentral